RNAcentral lists this ribosomal RNA (440 nucleotides) under uncultured bacterium. RNAcentral describes it as "partial 16S ribosomal RNA". It matches the Rfam family "Bacterial small subunit ribosomal RNA", at positions 338 to 795 of the family's 1533-position model. The record is from RNAcentral.
CCUACGGGAGGCAGCAGUGGGGAAUAUUGCACAAUGGGGGAAACCCUGAUGCAGCGACGCCGCGUGAGUGAAGAAGUAAUUCGUUAUGUAAAGCUCUAUCAGCAGGGAAGAAAAUGACGGUACCUGAGUAAGAAGCCCCGGCUAACUACGUGCCAGCAGCCGCGGUAAUACGUAGGGGGCAAGCGUUAUCCGGAUGUACUGGGUGGAAAGGGAGCGUAGACGGCAGUGCAAGUCUGGAGUGAAAGGCGGGGGCUCAACCCCCGGACUGCUCUGGAAACUGUACGGCUGGAGUGCAGGAGAGGUAAGUGGAAUUCCUGGUGUAGCGGUGAAAUGCGUAGAUAUUAGGAGGAACACCAGUGGCGAAGGCGGCUUACUGGACUGUAACUGACGUUGAGGCGCGAAAGCGUGGGGAGCAAACAGGAUUAGAUACCCCUGUAGUC